UCUGCAGCAUUGAAGGUCCCCAAGAACACAGUGGCCUCCAUCAUUCUGCAGCAUUGAAGGUCCCCAAGAACACAGUGGCCUCCAUCAUUCUGCAGCAUUGAAGGUCCCCAAGAACACAGUGGCCUCCAUCAUUCUGCAGCAUUGAAGGUCCCCAGAACACAGUGGCCUCCAUCAUUCUGCAGCAUUGAAGGUCCCCAAGAACACAGUGGCCUCCAUCAUUCUGCAGCAUUGAAGGUCCCCCAGAACCCAGUGGCCUCCAUCAUUCUGCAGCAUUGAAGGUCCCCAAGAACACAGUGGCCUCCAUCAUUCUGCAGUAUUGAAGGUCCCCCAGAACACAGUGGCCUCCAUCAUUCUGCAGCAUUGAAGGUCCCCAAGAACCCAGUGGCCUCCAUCAUUCUGCAGCAUUGAAGGUCCCCAAGAACCCAGUGGCCUCCAUCAUUCUGCAGCAUUGAAGGUCCCCAGAACACAGUGGCCUCCAUCAUUCUGCAGCAUUGAAGGUCCCCAAGAACCCAGUGGCCUCCAUCAUUCUGCAGCAUUGAAGGUCCCCAAGAACACAGUGGCCUCCAUCAUUCUGCAGCAUUGAAGGUCCCCAAGAACACAGUGGCCUCCAUCAUUCUGCAGCAUUGAAGGUCCCCCAGAA
This is a long non-coding RNA of Oncorhynchus keta (chum salmon), 640 nucleotides long. RefSeq lists it as uncharacterized. The record is from RefSeq and is a predicted model, not a curated record. The transcript has 3 exons. Lineage: Eukaryota; Metazoa; Chordata; Actinopteri; Salmoniformes; Salmonidae.